AUACGUAGGGGGCGAGCGUUGUCCGGAAUUAUUGGGCGUAAAGGGUGCGUAGGCGGCCUUUUAAGUCAGAUGUGAAAGACCACAGCUUAACUGUGGGGUUGCAUUUGAAACUAGAGGGCUUGAGUGUCGGAGAGGGCAGUGGAAUUCCCGGUGUAGCGGUGAAAUGCGUAGAUAUCGGGGGGAACACCAGUGGCGAAGGCGACUGCCUGGACGACAACUGACGCUGAGGCACGAAAGCUAGGGGAGCAAACAGGAUUAAAUACCCUGGUAGUCCUAGCCGUAAACGAUGGGUACUAGGUGUAGGUGGUUUCGAUACCAUCUGUGCCGCAGUUAACGCAAUAAGUACCCCGCCUGGGGAGUACGUUCGCAAGAAUGAA
RNAcentral lists this ribosomal RNA (377 nucleotides) under uncultured bacterium. RNAcentral's name for it is "bacterial SSU rRNA". It matches the Rfam family "Bacterial small subunit ribosomal RNA", at positions 523 to 898 of the family's 1533-position model. The record is from RNAcentral.